GGCCAGGCCCUGCGCAACCAAGGACUGUGAACCCCGCCAGGUCCGGAAGGAAGCAACGGUAAGCAGACACCCGGUGUGCCGCAGGUUAACUUGGCCUCA
Molecule: signal recognition particle RNA, 99 nt
Filed under: Chitinivibrionales bacterium
Lineage: Bacteria; Pseudomonadati; Fibrobacterota; Chitinivibrionia; Chitinivibrionales
Description: signal recognition particle sRNA small type
Rfam family: Bacterial small signal recognition particle RNA
About the family: The signal recognition particle (SRP) is a universally conserved ribonucleoprotein involved in the co-translational targeting of proteins to membranes. Archaeal SRP consists of a 7S RNA and homologues of the eukaryotic SRP19 and SRP54 proteins. In most bacteria, the SRP consists of a 4.5S RNA and the Ffh protein (a homologue of the eukaryotic SRP54 protein).
Source: RNAcentral